This 391-nucleotide ribosomal RNA is filed under the name uncultured bacterium. RNAcentral describes it as "bacterial SSU rRNA". It matches the Rfam family "Bacterial small subunit ribosomal RNA", at positions 28 to 419 of the family's 1533-position model. The record is from RNAcentral.
GACGAACGCUGGCGGCGUGCUUAACACAUGCAAGUCGAGCGGUAAGGCCCUUUCGGGGGUACACGAGCGGCGAACGGGUGAGUAACACGUGGGUGACCUGCCCUCAGCUCUGGGAUAAGCCUGGGAAACCGGGUCUAAUACUGGAUAUGACUCCAUGACGCAUGUUGUGGGGUGGAAAGCCUUGUGCGGCUGAGGAUGGGCCCGCGGCCUAUCAGCUUGUUGGUGGGGUGANGGCCUACCAAGGCGACGACGGGUAGCCGGCCUGAGAGGGCGACCGGCCACACUGGGACUGAGACACGGCCCAGACUCCUACGGGAGGCAGCAGUGGGGAAUCUUGCGCAAGUGGGCGAAAGCCUGACGCAGCGACGCCGCGUGAGGGAUGACGGCCUGG